AAAUGGGACCUCUUCAGCAACGG
RNAcentral lists this ribosomal RNA (23 nucleotides) under Frullania fertilis. RNAcentral's name for it is "partial 5.8S ribosomal RNA". Lineage: Eukaryota; Viridiplantae; Streptophyta; Jungermanniopsida; Porellales; Frullaniaceae. The record is from RNAcentral.